Molecule: ribosomal RNA, 26 nt
Filed under: Harrisia aboriginum
Lineage: Eukaryota; Viridiplantae; Streptophyta; Magnoliopsida; Caryophyllales; Cactaceae
Source: RNAcentral
UGGGAAGUCCUCGUGUUGCAACCCUU